This 229-nucleotide ribosomal RNA is filed under the name uncultured bacterium. RNAcentral describes it as "partial 16S ribosomal RNA". It matches the Rfam family "Bacterial small subunit ribosomal RNA", at positions 568 to 796 of the family's 1533-position model. The record is from RNAcentral.
UACGUAGGCGGUUUACUAAGUCAUAUGUGAAAGCCCCGGGCUUAACCUGGGAACUGCAUUUGAUACUGGUAGGCUAGAGUAUGGUAGAGGGGGGUAGAAUUCAUAGUGUAGCGGUGAAAUGCGUAGAUAUUAUGAGGAAUACCAGUGGCGAAGGCGGCCCCCUGGACCAAUACUGACGCUGAGGUACGAAAGCGUGGGUAGCGAACAGGAUUAGAUACCCUGGUAGUCC